GGGCGGGUGGCGAAAUGGCAGACGCGCAUGGUUUAGGACCAUGUUCCGAAAGGAGUGGAGGUUCAAGUCCUCUCCCGCCCA
Molecule: transfer RNA, 81 nt
Filed under: Candidatus Zambryskibacteria bacterium RIFCSPHIGHO2_01_FULL_49_18
Lineage: Bacteria; Candidatus Zambryskiibacteriota
Description: tRNA-Leu
Rfam family: tRNA
About the family: Transfer RNA (tRNA) molecules are approximately 80 nucleotides in length. Their secondary structure includes four short double-helical elements and three loops (D, anti-codon, and T loops). Further hydrogen bonds mediate the characteristic L-shaped molecular structure. tRNAs have two regions of fundamental functional importance: the anti-codon, which is responsible for specific mRNA codon recognition, and the 3' end, to which the tRNAs corresponding amino acid is attached (by aminoacyl-tRNA synthetases). tRNAs cope with the degeneracy of the genetic code in two manners: having more than one tRNA (with a specific anti-codon) for a particular amino acid; and 'wobble' base-pairing, i.e. permitting non-standard base-pairing at the 3rd anti-codon position.
Source: RNAcentral